RNAcentral lists this unclassified non-coding RNA (419 nucleotides) under fungal sp. Its description in RNAcentral is "partial internal transcribed spacer region". The stretch from base 1 to 46 matches the Rfam family "Eukaryotic small subunit ribosomal RNA", at positions 1786 to 1831 of the family's 1831-position model. Lineage: Eukaryota; Fungi. The record is from RNAcentral.
AAGUCGUAACAAGGUUUCCGUAGGUGAACCUGCGGAAGGAUCAUUCACAUCAUUAUGAAUACAUGGUAUAUCCACGUAUCCAUGUACUCUUUUCUUCUUUUGAACGCUACAAUUGAUGGUUUGUGCAGCGCAGUAAUUUGUGCUGCACAGAUUUGUGAGAAUCAGGUGGAAUAACUUUGGUAGGGGGACACGGUUGGGUUAACUGACCGUGUUUCUCUAUGUUUUUGCGCUCCCUUUUUCUUAGAUCUCUCCACAUCGAUUAUUAUUGCGUUCUAACCCAGUUAUUUCACCGACCCUUUUUAUUAUUUAUUAAGUAUAACAUUCAUAAUCAAUUGCAACUAACAACGUAAGUAAGUUACGUGUGUAAGAAACAAACUAAAAACAAAGAACAACUCUUUGCAAUGGAUAUCUUGGUUCUC